RNAcentral lists this ribosomal RNA (497 nucleotides) under uncultured bacterium. Its description in RNAcentral is "partial 16S ribosomal RNA". It matches the Rfam family "Bacterial small subunit ribosomal RNA", at positions 28 to 507 of the family's 1533-position model. The record is from RNAcentral.
GAUGAACGCUGGCGGCGUGCCUAAUACAUGCAAGUCGAGCGGACAGAUGAGGCGUUUGCGCGUCUGACGUUAGCGGCGGGGGGGUGAGUCACACGAGGAUACCCUCCCUAUAAGACUGGGAUCACUUCGGGAAACCGGAUAUCACACCGGAUAAUAUAUUGAACCGCGUGGUUCGUUGGAGAAAGACGGUUUUGCUGUAUCUACUCGCUGGAUACCGGCCGGAUUAGCUAGUUGGUAGGGAAACGGCUUACCAAGGCUAGGAUGCGUAGCCGAGCUGACAGGCGGAUCGGCCACACUGGAACGGAGACACGGUCCAGACUCCUACGGGAGGCAGCAGUAGGGAAUCUUCCGCAGUGGGCGAAAGCCUGACGGAGCAACGCCGCGUGUGUGAUGAAGGUCUUCGGAUCGUAAAACUCUGUUACUAGGGAAGAACAAAUGUGUAAGUAACUAUGCCCGUCUUGACGGUACCUAAUCAGAAAGCCACGGCUAACUACGUG